GACAGAGGGUGCAAACGUUGCUCGGAAUUACUGGGCGUAAAGCGCGUGUAGGCGGGAUGAUAAGUCAGGUGUGAAAUCCCUAGGCUCAACCUAGGAACUGCAUUUGAAACUGUCGGCCUUGAGUGAUGGAGAGGAUGGCGGAAUUCCUGGUGUAGAGGUGAAAUUCGUAGAUAUCAGGAGGAACACCGGUGGCGAAGGCGGCCAUCUGGAAAUCUACUGACGCUGAGACGCGAAAGCGUGGGGAGCAAACAGG
This 253-nucleotide ribosomal RNA is filed under the name uncultured bacterium. RNAcentral describes it as "partial 16S ribosomal RNA". It matches the Rfam family "Bacterial small subunit ribosomal RNA", at positions 524 to 776 of the family's 1533-position model. The record is from RNAcentral.